RNAcentral lists this ribosomal RNA (253 nucleotides) under uncultured bacterium. RNAcentral's name for it is "partial 16S ribosomal RNA". It matches the Rfam family "Bacterial small subunit ribosomal RNA", at positions 524 to 776 of the family's 1533-position model. The record is from RNAcentral.
UACGUAGGGCGCAAGCGUUAUCCGGAAUUAUUGGGCGUAAAGAGCUCGUAGGCGGCUUGUCGCGUCGGAUGUGAAAGCCCGGGGCUUAACUCCGGGUCUGCAUUCGAUACGGGCAGGCUAGAGUGUGGUAGGGGAGAUCGGAAUUCCUGGUGUAGCGGUGAAAUGCGCAGAUAUCAGGAGGAACACCAAUGGCGAAGGCAGAUCUCUGGGCCGUAACUGACGCUGAGGAGCGAAAGCAUGGGGAGCGAACAGG